AAUAGAUACCCUGGUAGUCCACGCCGUAAACGAUGAGUGCUAAGUGUUAGAGGGUUUCCGCCCUUUAGUGCUGCAGCUAACGCAUUAAGCACUCCGCCUGGGGAGUACGGUCGCAAGACUGAAACUCAAAGGAAUUGACGAGGGCCCGCACAAGCGGUGGAGCAUGUGGUUUAAUUCGAAGCAACGCGAAGAACCUUACCAGGUCUUGACAUCCCACUGACCGGUAUAGAGAUAUACCUUUCCCUUCGGGGACAGUGGUAACAGGUGGUGCAUGGUUGUCGUCAGCUCGUGUCGUGAGAUGUUGGGUUAAGUCCCGCAACGAGCGCAACCCUUAAUCUUAGUUGCCAGCAUUUAGUUGGGCACUCUAAGGUGACUGCCGGUGACAAACCGGAGGAAGGUGGGGAUGACGUCAAAUCAUCAUGCCCCUUAUGACCUGGGCUACACACGUGCUACAAUGGAUGGUACAAAGGGCUGCAAGACUGCGAAGUCAAGCCAAUCCCAUAAAACCAUUCUCAGUUCGGAUUGCAGG
This 529-nucleotide ribosomal RNA is filed under the name uncultured bacterium. Its description in RNAcentral is "bacterial SSU rRNA". It matches the Rfam family "Bacterial small subunit ribosomal RNA", at positions 777 to 1304 of the family's 1533-position model. The record is from RNAcentral.